AGAACUAUUGGAAGGUCGUAAAGACCAUCCUUAAGUAUUUAAGAAAUACUAAGGACCAGUGGCUUAUCUAUAGAGAAUCUGAAUUAAAACUUGUGAGGUUUACAGACUCCAAUUUUCAGUCAGAUCAUGACGACGCAAGAGCAUGUCAGAAUACGUUUAUACCCUAAACGGUGGAGCAGUCUGCUAGAAAAGUUUCAAGCAGUAUACCGUGGCCAACUCUACUUGCGAGGUG
RNAcentral lists this long non-coding RNA (232 nucleotides) under Elaeis guineensis (African oil palm). Its description in RNAcentral is "long non-coding RNA (EGUI_LNC050149)". The record is from RNAcentral. Lineage: Eukaryota; Viridiplantae; Streptophyta; Magnoliopsida; Arecales; Arecaceae.